This 497-nucleotide ribosomal RNA is filed under the name uncultured bacterium. RNAcentral's name for it is "partial 16S ribosomal RNA". It matches the Rfam family "Bacterial small subunit ribosomal RNA", at positions 28 to 507 of the family's 1533-position model. The record is from RNAcentral.
GAUGAACGCUGGCGGCGUGCCUAAUACAUGCGAGUCGAGCGAACAGAUGAGGAGCUUGCUCCUCUGACGUUAGCGGCGGACGGGUGAGUAACACGUGGAUAACCUACCUAUAAGACUGGGAUAACUUCGGGAAACCGGAGCUAAUACCGGAUAAUAUAUUGAACCGCAUGGUUCAAUAGUGAAAGACGGUUUUGCUGUCACUUAUAGAUGGAUCCGCGCCGCAUUAGCUAGUUGGUAAGGUAACGGCUUACCAAGGCAACGAUGCGUAGCCGACCUGAGAGGGUGAUCGGCCACAUUGGAACUGAGACACGGUCCAGACUCCUACGGGAGGCAGCAGUAGGGAAUCUUCCGCAAUGGGCGAAAGCCUGACGGAGCAACGCCGCGUGAGUGAUGAAGGUCUUCGGAUCGUAAAACUCUGUUAUUAGGGAAGAACAAAUGUGUAAGUAACUAUGCACGUCUUGACGGUACCUAAUCAGAAAGCCACGGCUAACUACGUG